This 1139-nucleotide long non-coding RNA is filed under the name Piliocolobus tephrosceles (Ugandan red Colobus). Its description in RNAcentral is "lncRNA (ENSPTEG00000002352.1)". The record is from RNAcentral. Lineage: Eukaryota; Metazoa; Chordata; Mammalia; Primates; Cercopithecidae.
UUUAUUACAUGGAUAAAUAUUUUUUUUAAAAAAUUUGUGGUUAGUUUCGUUAAAAAAUUCGUAUAUACCAUUUUUUUGUUGUACAUAUAUAACCAUUUGUCAAAAUAGUUACUUAUUAAUUUUUCAUUUAUUUUUUCUUUUAUGUGGGUAGAGCGCUUUUCAUAUUGAUACAUUAACAGCCAUAGAUUAAAAAAUGUUUGUUUUUUUUUAUGAUUACAACUUUUUAAUAAAAAAUUCAUACUAUUUUUUUGUUUUUGUCUUUUUUUACCAAAUAAUAAUAAUCCAACAAAACACAUCAUUUUUAAUCUUUUUUUUAUUUUUUCUUUUAAUUCAUAAAAUGUAUGUUUAUCAUAACUACUUACAAUAGUAAAAUUAUACCAAUGAAAAAAUAAUGUACGUACCUUUUUUUUUAUAAUUUUUUUCCGUUUUAUUUUUGUUUCUUUUAUACUACUAUUAAAUGUUAAUGCCCAUAGCCCGAAAUAUUUUUCUAUAACAUUCUUUUCAUUUUUGUUAAUUAUAUUUAUCAUUUUUGUCAAAUCAUUUUUUUUUUUUUCUCUUUUUGUGAUACAAUAUUUAUGCCAUAAAAAUAAGCUUUUUUUUAUUUUAUUAAAAAAUAGACACAUAUUAAUUAAUUUACUUUUUUCCAAAUUUAAUAAAAAAUAAUAAUUUAAACAUAAACAAUUAUUUUCAAAUUUUUUCAAAACAUAAUUAUUUAAUGCUUUUAGUACGUAAGUUAUUAAAGUACAAAAUUGUUCAUUCGUUAUAUCGUUUACUAUUGUACCAUUAUUUUUACUGUUUUUUGUUACGAUAGCAUUGUGUUUGUUACUAAACCGGUGCUUGCCAAAACUUUUGUUAUUUUUGGAGUAUAUAUACUCACUAGAUUUACUAUUACUCCAAUUAGAAUAUUCUUCAUGAGAGUUACUACUGUGUAAAAACAAAUUCAUGGUUGACUUUGAUAAGUUGUUUAAUUUAUUUUUUAUUUUUUUACCAUAUUUAUUGUCAUUAUUAUUGUCAUUAUUAUUGUCAUUAUUAUUGUCAUUAUUAUUGUCAUUAUUAUUGUCGUUAUUAUUGUCGUUAUUAUUGUCGUUAUUAUUGUCGUUAUUAUUGUCGUUAUUAUUGCCAUAUUUAUUACCAUUAUU